Molecule: ribosomal RNA, 917 nt
Filed under: Deladenus siricidicola
Lineage: Eukaryota; Metazoa; Nematoda; Chromadorea; Rhabditida; Sphaerulariidae
Description: bacterial SSU rRNA
Rfam family: Eukaryotic small subunit ribosomal RNA
Source: RNAcentral
GAUUAAGCCAUGCAUGUCGAAGUUUACACUGAAAUAAAAAUCGUAAAACCACAAACGGCUCAUUAAAUCAGCUGUAAUCUGCAUGAUUUUGACAGUAUCAAACUUGGAUACCUGUGGUAAUUCUAGAGCUAAUACAUGCACAAAUGCUAUGACCUUGCGGGAAUAGCGCAUUUAUUAGAGCAAAACCAAGCGGCUUCGGUCGUUUUUUGCUGACUCAGAAUAACUCAGCUGAUCGCAUGGUCUCGUACCGGCGACGUGUCAUAUGAGCAUCUGCCUUAUCAAUUUUCGAUGGUAGUGUACCGGACUACCAUGGUUUUGACGGGUAACGGAGAAUUAGGGUUCGACUCCGGAGAAGGGGCCUGAGAAAUGGCCACUACGUCUAAGGAUGGCAGCAGGCGCGAAAAUUACCCACUCUCGGAAAGAGGAGGUAGUAACGAGAAAUAACGAGACCGAUCUCUUUGAGGCCGGUUAUCGGAAUGGGUACAAUCUAAACCCUUUAACGAGUAUCUAUGAGAGGGCAAGUCUGGUGCCAGCAGCCGCGGUAAUUCCAGCUCUCAAAAUACAUUGAACCAUUGUUGCGGUUAAAAAGCUCGUAGUUGAAUCUAGGCUGGAGGCCUGGUCCACUCUUUGAGUGCGUACUGGGUUCUUUGGCUUUUCGUCGGUUUUCUUGCCGUGGUCUUCACCGAUGGCGGCAGGUGGCUGACAAGUUUACUUUGAAUAAAGCAGAGAGAUUAAAUCAGGCGUUUUGCUUGAGUGACUUUUCAUGGAAUAAUAUAACACGACUUCGGUCUAGUUUUAUUGGUUUUAUUGACCGUCGUAAUGAUUAACAGGGACAAGUGGGGGCAUUCGUAUUGUUGCGUGAGAGGUGAAAUUCUAGGACCGCAGCAAGACGACCUACAGCGAAAGCAUUUGCCAAG